This 1403-nucleotide long non-coding RNA is filed under the name Fukomys damarensis (Damara mole-rat). RNAcentral describes it as "lncRNA (ENSFDAG00000027353.1)". Lineage: Eukaryota; Metazoa; Chordata; Mammalia; Rodentia; Bathyergidae. The record is from RNAcentral.
UGGAGACAUCUGCCCCCCACCCCCGCACGGCCUGUGGGUGGAGCUGUGACCCUGGAGCCUCAAUUUCGCCCCGGAAGUGCAGGUUGCUAAUCAGAGCCGGCCUGAGGAGCGCCUGGGCGUAGUCUGCAAAGAGCGUGGUGCUCGUGGGCACGGAGGGGAGGGGAGGCGAGAGCGCGUGCCUCAGUGAGCGGUGCUCCGAGGGAGACGGGCGGUCGGCCCUGAUUGGAGUCAGGAGAAGCCCGGCCUGGCUGGUGGAGCUGCAGGCACUGAUUUGUAAGUGGACGUGGCUGAGCUCGCGGACAGUUUGCCCGGCGAUCCGAGUCUCGCUGCAGUUUGCUAGGACGCCACGCACUCUGCUGUUAUUGCAGCUGCAGCCAGGUGAACCCAAUGGGCGCAGAUCCCAGAGCUUCCCAGAGUGAGGCCCGGAGCCGCCAGGGCUCGCAGCCUGUGUUCAACGGUGCAGCCUUUGCCUGUCUUCCCGGAACGCGUGCCGCCUGGGGUCCUCCGCUGUCUCAGGCAGUGAGAGGUGCAUGGGCUGCUCUUGGUCAGCAGCGAGAUGACCCAGGCCGACUGAUACUUCAAACACUGCAGGGAGGGCCAGGAUUUGAAGCCCGCCGCUGCCGCUGCUCCCGGAAGUGCACGGAGAAUACGCGUCCGGCCCGGGUCCCACAAGACUGCUAUCUGAGGCCCCUCUUCUCGUUUCCUGCAUCGCCCAGGUUGGAGUGGGGUGGGCACCCACUCUCAUGAUCAACGCUCUGCAGCCGCCUGGCUUUCUGUGAGACAGUGAUCCAGCUGCAGGAAUCAGAAGGUGCAGCUUCAGGAGCAAAGGGCUUGCUGGAAGCCAUCCUGGCCUGCCACGGAGAAGUCCUCCUUUGGAUCAUGAAGAUUCUCUCCGCUCUCACCUUGCUCCUCGCCCUGCUGAGCUCUGCUGGGGGCCAAGGCCAUCCGCCCCGCUGGCUCCACGCGGUCCCCCGGCUGGCGCUCUCCGCCGGUGACUUCGUGACGCAGCGUGAGGACCGUUCACGGUGUUUCCCGACAGCCGCUUCGCGGCAGUGCUUCCUCAACAGAAAAUGGACUCCAGCCUCGGCUGACGCGAGAACUCGGUGUGCUGUGCACACCGCGUGAGGACUGCGAUGCGUUUCAGGGCCAGGUCCAUCCACACUGAACUCGACCUCGCUGCGGCAUCUGGGCUGUGGGUCACUGGACUGAAAUUACAUUAAAGGGCCAAGUCUUUGCAAAUUUCAUUUUAGAAAAGAAAAAACGUGACAUUUUAAUAAAUGCAGCAAGGUGGCCCCAAAGCAGCGUGUAGGACUCCCUUGGUAUUAUUUCUCUCUCCUUUUAAAAUUACAGUUUAUAUUUAAAGAAAACAAUGCGCUCACCCUGCGAACUGGCUCCUGUAGGCC